UUCGUAACGACGACCACCCUUACGAGAC
RNAcentral lists this small RNA (28 nucleotides) under Bombyx mori (domestic silkworm). Its description in RNAcentral is "ovarian small RNA-4046". Lineage: Eukaryota; Metazoa; Arthropoda; Insecta; Lepidoptera; Bombycidae. The record is from RNAcentral.